AGGUCACCUGACAAUAACAGGAUUGAGGUUACAGUAUGCCAUUCAAGCUGUGAUGAAAUAUAAAGUAAUGGUUUGAAUUUGGAGAGCUUCAUUACAUGUAUUAUAGACAGGUAAAUUGUUUUAUCCUGCAAUUAUCUACAUGAUCUAACUAUUGUACAUGUAAAUGGGACGAAAACUCACCUGAAGGGUCCACAAGUUAAACAGAAAUUAAAAACUAUAUAUAUGUCAUCAUUUAGGCCUUAUGGCCUUCAACAAUGAGAAAAACACAUUCUGCCACAAUGUCUUCUAUGUACAUUUUACAUAGUGCGCCUUAUUAAAAUGUGUUUGGAAAAUUUAUUUUUUGUUCAAAUGUUGAAUGAAGACAUUACUACUGGUAAAAAAGGACGAGAAUUAUUUUGUUAGCAUUUUAACAGUACUUUUUGAAGAAGUAUGUUUGCACUAACUUUUGAUUACUUUUCUCAUAUUGAAAAUUUCAUUUGAUAUAUACAUUGUACUUGUAUUAUAUUUGCAUUUUCAUAUUUCAGGGAUGAAGACCUGCAGUCAGACACCAGUUAAAAGUUACUUAUAACUCAUCAUGGCCAUUAUGGAAGAUCUGAUUAAAAUUUGUCUAGAAAGCCACCAAAUAUGUCCAUGAAAAAUAGAAAAAUGACAGCAAUUCUACAUAAUGCACCGUACUAAGUAGAAGCAUUGACUGUUUCAAAACCAAAUGAAUUGGAAUUUAGUGUAUUGAUGCUGAAAUAGAGAGGAAUAUUAUUAAUUGGACAAUUUAACUUCUUUUUCAUCAUUAUUGAAGUUGAUGUAUACCAUCUUAAAGAGUUUUUACUUGACACAUGUGACAGUUAAAAGGAAUACCAAAUAUACAUAAUAAAGGCCGUUUGGAGAUUUGUGAAUAGUCUUAAAAUAGGAGUUUCAAAAAGGAUUUCAGUUAAAAUAUUGUAUUUCACGGAUGUCAGAAAUGUAAUUUUAUGUCUCUUUCAUGAAAUGUUUUAAAAAAUCUGCAAUAUCUAACCAAGACGAGUGAGAGAUCUACAGAUAGACAUAUGAUAUUCAGUUGAACUGUAAACAUGGUAAAGGGGA
Molecule: long non-coding RNA, 1077 nt
Filed under: Mytilus galloprovincialis (Mediterranean mussel)
Lineage: Eukaryota; Metazoa; Mollusca; Bivalvia; Mytilida; Mytilidae
Source: RNAcentral